AGUGUCUCGGGCUCAGGCUGAAAGAGACUGGCAGCUUUCACUUCCUGUCUUUUGAAAGUCUCUUGAACUUCGGACCUGGGGGAAGCCAGCUGCCGAGUGAGAAGUCUGACUAUCCGGAGAUGGCGGUGAGUAUAGAGAAUUUCUGCUAGGUCUCCUGUGUUUCAGCCAUCCCAGCCCAGGCACCACGACACAUUAUCAAAGGACUAUCUUGGACCUUCUCAUCCCAGCAAACAUCCAAUGGAGAAGAAUGAAGACUCCAGGCAUAUGAUCCCACUCUAGCCAUCCCAGGAGCCCCCAGCUAUCCAAACAACUACAGCUGUGGCCAAAAACAUCGUGUAUCAGGGACAAACUCUCUGCUUAUGGCUGCUCUAAUCCUUGACCUACAGAAUCAUGAAAUUUGUGGAUACGGUCAUGAUCUUGAUUUUGGCGAUGGUUUCACAGUAACUCAUGCUUUCAAAAUAUCAGGAAGCAAAUGAGAAAAGGAAAAAAAGACAUUCAUUGUAUAUGCUGUGAAGUAAUCCUGCCAAAGGACACUUUGGGCUCCGCAGUGAGUAUAUUUUUUCCUUAAAAAUUGCCAAUUUCUUGAUCUAUAUUCUAUGAUAAAAGUUUUAAUAUUUUGCUAAGUUAAUUAGUAUUGCCUAUUGACCAACAUGUUCUAUUUAGUGUACUGCUUCACCAAGUGCCAACAUAUACGUCUCCAGUGACUGCUGAUGGCUGAGUCUCCUUAUGUUAGUAAAUUUCUAAACAUUUUUCUUAGUACAUGGAGUAACGUGUUAUGUUGAUCAAUGUUUGAUGACACUUAAAUGUAACUACAAUGCAGUAAUUCGAAGGUAAGAAAAAGUUGCCAUGACUCUCAUUUCUUUGAAAUUGUGUACAAUGAAAGGCUUCUCAGCAUGAUACCCCAACUAAAAUUUAGGCGUAUGACAGCACUUAUAAGUAAAUCCAUUUUAUUUGAGUAAAUAUUGAGUUUCAUUUACCUUUUAGCAAAUUCCGAAGUAGCAUCUCCAUAAAUUUAAACUGAUUUUACUUAUUGAGUCCUAUUACUAACUUUAAAAGACAAUCUACUUUGGAUCAUUUUGAGCAUCACAUAUUGCUUACGUAAAAUAAGUUUAAAUCUGAGUCAAUAAUGAUACUAAGCAAACAAAUAAAAUCAUUGGUCACUGUAUUAAGUCUGUUUUCAUGCUGUUGAUAAAGACAUACCCAUGACUGGGCAAUUUACAAAAGAAAUGUUUAAUUGGACUUACAGUUCCACGUGUGGCUGGGGAAGCCUCACAAUCAUGGUGGAAGGCGAAAGGCACAUCUCACAUGAUAGCAGACAAGGGAAAAGAGCUUGUGCUGGGGAACUCCUUUUUUAAAACCAUCAGAUCUCGUGACACUUAUCUACUAUCAGCACGGGAAAGACCUUCCCCCAUGAUUCAAUUACCUUCCACCAGUCCCUCACAUAAUAUAUGAGAAUUCAAGAUGAGAUUUGGGUGGGGACACAGCAAAACCAUAUCAGUCACCUUUGGAGAAUACUAGAGAAUUAACUAACUAUUCUGAAAAUCAGUAAUUAAAGGGAAAGAAGCAAACAUUUUUUCUGUCUUUCCAUAAAAAAUUGUACUUUGAACAACCAAAUGGGUGAUAAUGAAAGAAAGUUCCUCUUUAUAAAAGUAACUGAAGAGGCCAGGCGUGGUGGCUCAUGCCUGUAAUCCCAGCACUUUGGGAGGCCGUGAUGGGCAGAUCACUUGAGCCCAGAAGUUUGAGACCAGCCUGUGCAACAUAUCUAGACCCUGUCUUUAAAAAGAAAGAAAAAAUUUAAAACAGUAACUGAGCAUCAGCUAUUGUGGGCACACUGCCUAUGGGUAGCCCUGCUCCACAAGGAGCAGUUAAAAAAAAAAGUAACUCAGUAGAUAAAUGAGAAAGGAAUGAUAAUUACAAUAACAAGAUGUGGCAAUCCUGAUUUAAUUAAUGAAUCUAAGCAAAAAGCAAUGGCUUUGAAUAGAACACAGAAAAGAAACAACUAAAUAUUAUGUGCCUCCUGGUUGAAAUAUACACAAUUAUCUAUGAUUUCAUCUUUUGAACCUGAAUCUGAUCAAGCCUCUAGAUCUAUUCAUCAAUUUAUAUAAAACACAAGAGACACAGAAAAGACAAAGGAAUGUACUAAACUACAGCAUGAGGUACAAUCAAGCAAAAUUCAUACCAUGGAAACUAUAGAACAAACAAUUUAGUUUCUUGCAGAAAUAAAUUGCAAGGGAAAAAUAAAGACAUGGUUAAAGACACUUCGGAGAUAUGCUUACCAGAUGCAAUUUAUGGAUGUGUAUUAGCGUUCUCCAGAGAAACAGAACCAAGAGGAUAUAUAUGGGUAUAUAAGAGGGAAUUUGUUAUGGAAGCCAGCUCACAUGAUUAUGGAGGGUGAGAAGUUCCACAACAUCCCAUCUGCAAGCUGUACAACCAAGGAAGCCAAUGUUGUAAUUCAGUCUGAGUCCGAAGGCCAGAGAAACUGGGGCCAUUGGUGUAAUCUUGGAGUCUGAAAGCUCAAUGAAGUCAGGAGAAGAUGGAUGUCCCAGCCCCAAGAGGGAGAGAAUUUGCCCUUCUCUUUUUAUUCUAUUGGAACCCUUAACAGAUUGGAUGAUGCCUGUCCAUAUUGAUGAGGGUGGUUCUUCUGUACUCAGUUUACUGCUUCAAAUGCUAGUCUCUUCUGAAAAUUCUCUCACAGACCCACCCAGAAAUGUUUUACCAGCUAUCUGGCUAUCCCUUAACCCAGUCAAGUUGACACAUAAAAUUAACCAUCACAGAAUGUUAUUUGGAUUCAGAUUUUAAUCAACAAAGUGUGAAAAAGUAAUAAGAUUAUUGGAGAAAUUUGUGUGUUGGCUGGAUAUUUAAUGAUGACAAGAAAGUUUUCAUUUUUGCAGGUGUGCUAAUGGUAUUGUGGGUUUUGUUGAGUCUUUAUCUUCUAAAAAUACUUCCUAAAAUAGUUACAGAAGAAAAGAUUUAUAAUCUGAAAUUUGCUUCCAAAUUAUCCAAGAGUCUGGUGUUGGGGUUGGGGACUGAGUGGAAGUACAGACAAGGCAAUCUUGGCCAUGGGUUCAUGCCCAAAUUUCUUAUUCUUAUUAUAAGGACACCAAUCAGAUUAGAUCAUGGACCACUCUAAUGGCCUGAUUUUAACUUAAUCACCUUUAAAGUUCUCUUUCCAAAUACAGUCACAUUCUGAGGUACUGGGGGUUAAGGCAUUAGUGGGAAUUUGCAGGGACAUAAUUCAGUUCAUAACAAGUCCAUUCAGAAUCUUGCUCUGUUUAUUUGUGAUAUCAAUGCCAUAUAAACUGCUUAAAAUGGUUACCUUCAAUAUUGGCUCAAAAGCUAAACUUUGUAAGCUCCUGGCAUUAAUCACCAUGCUAUACUUUGCAAAGUCCACAGCCAAACAAUCCUAACCACUCCUUCACUUUCAGACUAAUUCUAUAGUUCUAUUUUCUCCAAUAUGGUAGUCACACAUGAACUAGUAAACACUUGAAAUGUGGCUGAUCCAAACUGAGAUGUGUUGUAAGUAUACAUUACACUGGAUUUCAAAGACUUAGCAAGAAAAAAAGAAAGAUAUCUCGUUACUAGUUUUUGUAUUGAUUACAUGUUGAAAUGAUAGUUUGGAUAUACUAAAUUAGAUUAUUAAAGUUAAUUUCAGCUGUUCCUUCUUCCUUAAAAAAUAUGGCUAGUAAAUAACUUUAAAAUUAUGUGCUCACUUUAUAUUUCUAUUGGAUGGCACUUUUCAAAAGUACAGGUACCUGUCAUUUGACCUAAGAUUCGCUUCAAAGACUUUCUUUGACUUCCAAUUUAUAACUCUCCCCAAUAAUCCCUUUCCUUUUUGCACCACACAUUUAAUAACCUAGGUGCAGAAUUCUAGCGCUAUAUGCAGUCCUUAAUUCACAUUUCAAACCUGAAGAACAUGUGCCUACUUCUCAGGCAGACAACAUGUAAUGCUAACUGAAAAAAUGUCACUGAAAUUUGUUAUAUUUAUUGAAAUCCUAAGUGAUGGAUAGUUCUGUUGCCUUUUACCAUUUCCAAGGAAAAAGAGAAGCUAUAAUAAUAGCAAUUGACAAAGAUACUCUCAUUUUUCCUUUACCAGUGGUACUAGAUAUUCUCAGGCUGCCGCAGUGGCUUACACCUGUAAUCUCAACACUUUGGGAGGCCAGUGUGGGAGGAUCACUUGAGUCCAGGAGUUCAAGACCCCAUCUCUACAAAAAAAUAAAAAAAAUUGGCUGGGUAUGGUGGUACACGCCUGUAAUCGCAGCUACUUUGGAGGCUGAGGUGGGAGGAUCACUUGAGUCUCAGAGGUCGAGGCAGCAGUGAGCCAUGAUUGCACCACUGCACUCCGGCCUGGGCGAUAGAGUGAGACUCUAUUUCAAAAAUAAAUAAAUAAAUAAUGUAAAAAAGAUACUCUCAUAUUUCAUUUAUAAACAACACUAGAAAAAGUCUUAUGCCCCAAUUUUACCAAAACACUAGAACUGGGCUUAAUACAGAUUUCUAGAAAUUUUUGCAAUACUUACAUAUUUGCAGCUGCUAAAUUUUGUGACAAAGAUAAAUACUUCAUUUUGCUUAAAAGUUGAUGCUGAGAGGAGGAAUUGUAGUUAGGAGUAUUUCAGCAUCAGUAAUUUUUUACUUUUUCAGGAACAUAAAAUAUGAUUAACAUCCACUGCUUGUAUUUCUUGGCAGGCUCAGUUGUAUCUUACCCAGAUUUUCAUUUUAGUACAAUUAAUCCAUACAGGUUUAAUUAGGUAGAUUUAAAUGCUUAUCAAAUGAGUAUACUUAUUUGGCAGCACAACAGUGGCUCGAAACCUACAGGAUUAAAAACUUUGCAUUUUGGCUUAUCAUCUAUAUCCCUGAAUGAUAGUUUCCACAAUC
Molecule: long non-coding RNA, 4869 nt
Filed under: Homo sapiens (human)
Lineage: Eukaryota; Metazoa; Chordata; Mammalia; Primates; Hominidae
Description: HSALNT0336419
Source: RNAcentral